This 166-nucleotide non-coding RNA is filed under the name bovine gut metagenome. RNAcentral's name for it is "Lysine riboswitch". It matches the Rfam family "Lysine riboswitch aptamer". Rfam says of the family: Riboswitches are metabolite binding domains within certain messenger RNAs that serve as precision sensors for their corresponding targets. The record is from RNAcentral.
AGAUAGAGGCGCGUGCGUCAACAGUAAUUCCGCCGUAAAAGGCUGAAUGGCGGAACGAAAGGGGCUCACGCCGAAGAAAAGGCGGCUGCCUUGGCUGCCGAUUCUGGUACGCGGGGAAAUACGUCGCGUACUGUCAUUGGAAGAUUCUUCUUGUGGAGCGCUAUCA